RNAcentral lists this ribosomal RNA (434 nucleotides) under uncultured Treponema sp. RNAcentral's name for it is "bacterial SSU rRNA". It matches the Rfam family "Bacterial small subunit ribosomal RNA", at positions 341 to 792 of the family's 1533-position model. The record is from RNAcentral. Lineage: Bacteria; Pseudomonadati; Spirochaetota; Spirochaetia; Treponematales; Treponemataceae.
ACGGAAGGCAGCAGUGGGGAAUAUUGGGCAAUGGGCGCAAGCCUGACCCAGCAAUGCCGCGUGAAGGAAGAAGGCUUUCGGGUUGUAAACUUCUUUUAAGUGGGACGACAAUGACGGUACCACUUGAAUAAGCUCCGGCUAAUUACGUGCCAGCAGCCGCGGUAACACGUAAGGUGCGAGCGUUGUUCGGAAUCAUUGGGCGUAAAGGGCAUGUAGGCGGUCUGUCAAGCCAGGCGUGAAAGCCAGGGGCUCAACCCCUGAACUGCGCUUGGAACUGGCGGACUGGAGUCGCUGAGGGGGAACCGGAAUUCCUGGUGUAGGGGUGAAAUCUGUAGAUAUCAGGAAGAACACCGAUGGCGAAGGCAGGUUUCCAGCAGACGACUGACGCUGAGGUGCGAAGGUGCGGGGAGCAAACAGGAUUAGAUACCCUGGUA